GACGAACGCUGUCGGCGUGCUUAACACAUGCAAGUCGAACGGAAAGGCCCUGCUUUUGUGGGGUGCUCGAGUGGCGAACGGGUGAGUAACACGUGAGUAACCUGCCCUUGACUUUGGGAUAACUUCAGGAAACUGGGGCUAAUACCGGAUAGGAGCUCCUGCUGCAUGGUGGGGGUUGGAAAGUUUCGGCGGUUGGGGAUGGACUCGCGGCUUAUCAGCUUGUUGGUGGGGUAGUGGCUUACCAAGGCUUUGACGGGUAGCCGGCCUGAGAGGGUGACCGGCCACAUUGGGACUGAGAUACGGCCCAGACUCCUACGGGAGGCAGCAGUGGGGAAUAUUGCACAAUGGGCGGAAGCCUGAUGCAGCAACGCCGCGUGCGGGAUGACGGCCUUCGGGUUGUAAACCGCUUUCGCCUGUGACGAAGCGUGAGUGACGGUAAUGGGUAAAGAAGCACCGGCUAACUACGUGCCAGCAGCCGCGGUGAUACGUAGGGUGCGAGCGUUGUCCGGAUUUAUUGGGCGUAAAGGGCUCGUAGGUGGUUGAUCGCGUCGGAAGUGUAAUCUUGGGGCUUAACCCUGAGCGUGCUUUCGAUACGGGUUGACUUGAGGAAGGUAGGGGAGAAUGGAAUUCCCGGUGGAGCGGUGGAAUGCGCAGAUAUCAGGAGGAACACCAGUGGCGAAGGCGGUUCUCUGGGCCUUUCCUGACGCUGAGGAGCGAAAGCGUGGGGAGCGAACAGGCUUAGAUACCCUGGUAGUCCACGCUGUAAACGGUGGGUACUAGGUGUGGGGUCCAUUCCACGGGUUCCGUGCCGUAGCUAACGCUUUAAGUACCCCGCCUGGGGAGUACGGCCGCAAGGCUAAAACUCAAAGGAAUUGACAGGGCCCCGCACAAGCGGCGGAGCAUGCGGAUUAAUUCGAUGCAACGCGUAGAACCUUACCUGGGUUUGACAUGGAUCGGGAGUGCUCAGAGAUGGGUGUGCCUCUUUUGGGGUCGGUUCACAGGUGGUGCAUGGCUGUCGUCAGCUCGUGUCGUGAGAUGUUGGGUUAAGUCCCGCAACGAGCGCAACCCUUGUUCACUGUUGCCAGCACGUUAUGGUGGGGACUCAGUGGAGACCGCCGGGGUCAACUCGGAGGAAGGUGGGGAUGACGUCAAGUCAUCAUGCCCCUUAUGUCCAGGGCUUCACGCAUGCUACAAUGGCUGGUACAGAGAGUGGCGAGCCUGUGAGGGUGAGCGAAUCUCGGAAAGCCGGUCUCAGUUCGGAUUGGGGUCUGCAACUCGACCUCAUGAAGUCGGAGUCGCUAGUAAUCGCAGAUCAGCAACGCUGCGGUGAAUACGUUCCCGGG
RNAcentral lists this ribosomal RNA (1343 nucleotides) under uncultured bacterium. Its description in RNAcentral is "16S ribosomal RNA". It matches the Rfam family "Bacterial small subunit ribosomal RNA", at positions 28 to 1378 of the family's 1533-position model. The record is from RNAcentral.